RNAcentral lists this ribosomal RNA (465 nucleotides) under uncultured Klebsiella sp. RNAcentral describes it as "bacterial SSU rRNA". It matches the Rfam family "Bacterial small subunit ribosomal RNA", at positions 338 to 795 of the family's 1533-position model. Lineage: Bacteria; Pseudomonadati; Pseudomonadota; Gammaproteobacteria; Enterobacterales; Enterobacteriaceae. The record is from RNAcentral.
CCUACGGGGGGCAGCAGUGGGGAAUAUUGCACAAUGGGCGCAAGCCUGAUGCAGCCAUGCCGCGUGUGUGAAGAAGGCCUUCGGGUUGUAAAGCACUUUCAGCGGGGAGGAAGGCGGUGAGGUUAAUAACCUCAUCGAUUGACGUUACCCGCAGAAGAAGCACCGGCUAACUCCGUGCCAGCAGCCGCGGUAAUACGGAGGGUGCAAGCGUUAAUCGGAAUUACUGGGCGUAAAGCGCACGCAGGCGGUCUGUCAAGUCGGAUGUGAAAUCCCCGGGCUCAACCUGGGAACUGCAUUCGAAACUGGCAGGCUAGAGUCUUGUAGAGGGGGGUAGAAUUCCAGGUGUAGCGGUGAAAUGCGUAGAGAUCUGGAGGAAUACCGGUGGCGAAGGCGGCCCCCUGGACAAAGACUGACGCUCAGGUGCGAAAGCGUGAGGAGCAAACAGGAUUAGAUACCCCAGUAGUC